This is a long non-coding RNA of Peromyscus eremicus (cactus mouse), 1736 nucleotides long. RefSeq lists it as uncharacterized. The record is from RefSeq and is a predicted model, not a curated record. The transcript has 2 exons. Lineage: Eukaryota; Metazoa; Chordata; Mammalia; Rodentia; Cricetidae.
UAAGCCGUGCUCUUGGACUCAAUGGGUUAAAAUGCCAUCUCUCCUUGUGUAGCUGGACAAGCUACACCUCCCAACGGCCCCAUCCUAGAGUGUCCUGCUGAUAAUCAGUGCUUAUCCUAAUGCAGGCUGCUGAGAACUGAAUGAAUUCUCACCAAGUGCUGACACUCUCAUCGCGCCCGCCCCGUGUGCGGGACUGGGAGAAGAAAGCCACUAUUAAUGGAGUCACAUGGCUUCGGUUUGUCUGAUUGUAUUUGAAGUGUUCGGGGAGAAAAAAAGACAAGCCCACUUUAGAAACAGUAUGAAAGAAACGUGCUCAAUUCCACCGGGCAGCUGUAAUGAAUCCCUUUCUUCUGUGGGCCAGACGUUGAAGGAUGGGAUUGUACAUCGGAGUCAACACAGUUCCUAGUGGACCUGCUUCUCUGGCAGGCAGGCGGGAAGGGAGGGGGCUGAGGAUGUGGAGUCCAGGUUCCUCCAGCUGUUUGACCAUCACAUCAGUGAAAACACACCUGCCUCCUGCUGAGACUCAGAUUCCUCCUUGGAAAACUGGAAAACAAACAAACCCGGAAAAAAACAAACAACUCGGUUGCCGGUCGCCGGUGUCCUGAGGAUUACACGUGGUGACUGGCACAGACCCGGCAUAGGUUUAUUGGACACACUCAGGGCCCAAUAAAUGGGCGGUAACCUCCAACUCAUUCUUCCUUCUUUCACUGAGGAAACAGGGCACUUCAGAGGGAGAUGACCGAUUCUCUGCAAUGAGAAAGGAUUGCCUAACAGGCCCUCUUGUCAUGACCUGCAGGGGCCAUGCAGGACCAUCUCUCACUGUUCCCAGGAGGCAUCUACCAGCCUCCCCUCAGGGUGGCCUGCGAACAUGGGCCAGGAGUAGCUGCCCAUCUCCCUUGGCCAAGAAGAUGAGGCAUUCAGGAGUUUAGGAUAAGAAAGGUUACUAUGUAUAGGACCCAUCAUUCUCCAUCUCCCCAGAGGGGAGCCAGAGAGGGUAGGCCUGGGAGGGAGGCUCAGGGUUAGGUAGAAAGAAAUACCUGCUGUUGGCCAUAGAUAAGGGCACGGAGGGAGCCUGCCUGGUGUCUUCAGGAAUGGGGAUGAAUCUAUUGGCAAUCAGGGGUUCCCCUCCAGCAGGCCCCUGGAUGGCACUCCUACCCGCUGCCCUGCCCUCACCAGCCCUGGUCUCUUCUUCCAGGAGGAACAGAGCCUAACAGGGCAGUACCCUAAUGCAGGGGACCUGCUUUUAUCUUGACUCAGGACAAGUCCCAAAGGGAAAAGAAGAGAUCUCGAGCACAGCAGCUAAGAGCACUAACUCAGAAAUAAGACAACUUGAGUGGGGUGUCCCAGCUCUGCCUCAUACCAGCUGUGUGAGCCCAGGGCGGGUUAUUUAACCUGUCGGUUCUGCAGGACCUACCCCACAGAGGUGUGGGAGAAGAAAAUGAGAUCCUGUGUAUGAAAUGCUUAUUCAUGCCUGGGUACAGUGAACCUUCUGUAAAUCACAGCUACUACCCAACUAGCGUUUUGUGAGGCAGAGACAAAGCCAUCUACAGGUGGCCUUUCCCACUUGCAGUUAUUAUCUUGAGGCACAAAUCCAGGGGCAUGCCCAGCAGGGAUAUCUGAACCCCAUCCAGGUCAGCAGAGUCUAUGAGGUCAUGCCCAGAAUACCUUCAACAGGAAGGACAUGGCUCCUUCAGCUUUUGCAGCCCGGGAUGGUUUAUAAAGCAACUUGAUGUGCA